Molecule: transfer RNA, 76 nt
Filed under: Gemmatimonadetes bacterium GWC2_71_9
Lineage: Bacteria; Pseudomonadati; Gemmatimonadota
Also listed under: 3 other names
Description: tRNA-Gln
Rfam family: tRNA
About the family: Transfer RNA (tRNA) molecules are approximately 80 nucleotides in length. Their secondary structure includes four short double-helical elements and three loops (D, anti-codon, and T loops).
Source: RNAcentral
UGCCCCUUGGUGUAACUGGCAACACGCCUGACUCUGGAUCAGGAGAGUCCUGGUUCGAUCCCAGGAGGGGCAAUCA